CUAGCAGUAUCAGAGUUUGAUCCUGGCUCAGGAUGAACGCUGGCGGCGUGCCUAACACAUGCAAGUCGAGCGAUCUUCUUCGGAAGAGAGCGGCGGACGGGUGAGUAACGCGUGGGUAACCUGCCCUGUACACACGGAUAACAUACCGAAAGGUAUGCUAAUACGAGAUAAUAUGCUUUUAUCGCAUGAUAGAAGUAUCAAAGCUCCGGCGGUACAGGAUGGACCCGCGUCUGAUUAGCUAGUUGGUAAGGUAACGGCUUACCAAGGCGACGAUCAGUAGCCGACCUGAGAGGGUGAUCGGCCACAUUGGAACUGAGACACGGUCCAA
This 328-nucleotide ribosomal RNA is filed under the name uncultured bacterium. Its description in RNAcentral is "bacterial SSU rRNA". It matches the Rfam family "Bacterial small subunit ribosomal RNA", at positions 1 to 334 of the family's 1533-position model. The record is from RNAcentral.